This 496-nucleotide ribosomal RNA is filed under the name uncultured bacterium. RNAcentral's name for it is "partial 16S ribosomal RNA". It matches the Rfam family "Bacterial small subunit ribosomal RNA", at positions 29 to 507 of the family's 1533-position model. The record is from RNAcentral.
AUGAACGCUGGCGGCGUGCCUAAUACAUGCAAGUCGAGCGAACGGACGAGAAGCUUGCUUCUCUGAUGUUAGCGGCGGACGGGUGAGUAACACGUGGAUAACCUACCUAUAAGACUGGGAUAACUUCGGGAAACCGGAGCUAAUACCGGAUGAUAUUUUGAACCGCAUGGUUCAAAAGUGAAAGACGGUCUUGCUGUCACUUAUAGAUGGAUCCGCGCUGCAUUAGCUAGUUGGUAAGGUAACGGCUUACCAAGGCAACGAUGCAUAGCCGACCUGAGAGGGUGAUCGGCCACACUGGAACUGAGACACGGUCCAGACUCCUACGGGGGGCAGCAGUAGGGAAUCUUCCGCAAUGGGCGAAAGCCUGACGGAGCAACGCCGCGUGAGUGAUGAAGGUCUUCGGAUCGUAAAACUCUGUUAUUAGGGAAGAACAUAUGUGUAAGUAACUGUGCACAUCUUGACGGUACCUAAUCAGAAAGCCACGGCUAACUACGUG